RNAcentral lists this small RNA (1958 nucleotides) under Pongo abelii (Sumatran orangutan). Its description in RNAcentral is "retained intron". Lineage: Eukaryota; Metazoa; Chordata; Mammalia; Primates; Hominidae. The record is from RNAcentral.
UCUGACUGUGUCUCAGCUCACAGGGCUUCCAGGAUCAUGGCCUAUAAAAUACUUCAAGUAGCCCUGUGUUCAACAUUGCUUAUCGGAGCAUUGGGAGCGCCAUUUUUGUUGGAGGACCCUGCAAACCAGUUCCUACGUCUCAAAAGACAUGUAAAUUUGCAGGAUUACUGGGACCCAGAUCACAGUUCAGAUGUGUGGGGAAACACACUGGCUAAGCAGGUAUUUGUAUUAGAAACAAAUGGUCCUUCACCAUUUAUCUUUUUAAAUAGUCAUUGCAUUAGCUGACCACUAAUUAACACAUGACUAGCCUAGCCCUGAUUUUUCCUCUCUAGACACUCUGAACUAUAUCUGCUUUUUCUUCCCCAUGAAGUGGUUUUUGCCUGGUAAACUCUGCCUCUUGCUUAAAGACUAGACUCAAAUGUCCCUCUGAAGCCUUUCCCUUCUUCUCAGGGCAACAUUUGUCUUUCCUUCUCUCCCUUUUUGCUUGCUCUUUCACAAGUAAAUAGCUCUCAAAAUGCCAAUUGGAAUUACUUGUUUUGUGUACCCAACCUACCUACCUAGACUAUAAAGGUAGGGUCUGUAUCUUAUCCUUCAAGGUAAUUAUUCUCGGGAACUGGCAAAAUGAUUGUUAUAUAGUCAAAGCUUAAUAAAUUAUUACAUGUAUGUGUAGAUUGAUGAAUAGAUAGUGGUCGGACUUUAGUUCACUUUCAGUUGUUCAGUAGCUAAAUAUCCCCUGUGAUAAUUAUUCAAGGCUUUAAUGUUGUUCCUCCUUUUGCUUGCCUUUUGUACAUUUUCCUAUUCAUUUGCAUUCUCGCUGCAAAAGAAACAAAGAAUAAACUUGCAUUGGCCUUUUUUAUUCUAUGUUUGCUUUUCUGAUAGAAGACGACAUUAAAACUCCAGGCCAAAUGAAAUUGCUGAAUUAUCUGAGGAUUUCAAUUAUUCAUGAUCUCCCACUUACAAUUCAGCAAGUUAGGAAACAAAGUUGUAUAAUGAAUGAAUUAAUUCCUUCACUUAUUUUUUCUUUCUUUCCACAUAUCUCAGGAUCUGAUUAUUAUCAGGCAUGAGGAUUGUAUAAAGUCAUAAAAAGUUGAAUGUCCUUGUUUUCAUGGGGCCUUGAUCCUGUCCUUACUCCACAUGACUGGGUCUUAACCGGUCUACCAGGAUCUGCUUGUUUUGCACUUGCUGAUGAAAACUACUAACUGAAUAAUGCAUCUAGUUUUAUGGCUGUUUUUGUCCAAUAGGCAUUAUUUAGCAUUAUUAAAACAAGACAUUUGUUUAUUUGGUCAAUUAAGUAAUUAAGUAGGCUGGUAGACUGUGUCUUCUUUAUAGAAUGUUGACAUUUUCAGGUACACUCCUGCCUCUACUUGUAGACCAGAUUUGUACCAACUGACAGACACUAUGUAAUGUAGCAAGACUCUGCUACAUUGGUUUAUACUGUGGCCCCGCAAAUACUGUAAAAUAUCUGAGUACUGAAAUAAACAGAUAAUUAAAAGUAUGAAAACCAAAGUCUAUUUGGUAUAAUUCUUCCAUUAUAUUUUUCUCAUCUUUUAGGAAUAUCUGUAUGAUAAUCAGAAUAACUGAUGCAAGAUGUGUUCUACACACUCAGAGAUCAUGACUUGUGUUUCCUUUUCUUGCAGGCUCAUGAAACAUGGAUUGCUUUGAAAACAACAGCACAGUAUUAUUUGGAUAUGAAUACCUUCACCUUUGACAUGUCUACUGCCCAGUAAAUAUGUUUUCCUGGUUAAAGCAGGAGGAUGAAGAUGGCACAAGUUGGAAUGGCAUUGUGCCCAAACCAUGGGUUUUAGAGAUCUGAGGGUAUAUCCAUGCUGUUUACUACAUUAUUUAUUAUGUCUGUCUCAAAGUUGUUGAAAAGAGUAGUUAUGAAAACCCAUGUAGAAACUUGGAAUAAGACAUUCUCAAUAAAUGGUAGUUCUCAAAAAAAGAACUAAAAAAAAAAA